GCGCAUGCGCCGAAGGAGGGGGGGGGAAGGACCCGUCUUAGUUACCUCUGUUCCUUCUCCAGAGUUGGCUCUCUUUGGUCAGGCAGCAGCCUUGCGCUGGCUUUCCUGGGGCUAAGAGGUGCCUCAGGGCGUGAUUUCAUGGAGGUCUUGCGAUAUCUCGCCCAAACCCAGAAGCUUCUGCAGCGGGGGGGGAGCAUGGAGGGGCUCCUUGAAUUCUGCCACCUGAGGAGGCUACCUCAGUUUGCCUCAUGGAUGGGCCGGCCCGCCGAUCCUGUGCUUGCAGUGGCUAGCAAAUGCCUAUGGAAAGGCCACAUCGCUCUCUCACUAGCGAUACUCUAGUGAGUAUCUAUGGAGACAGGACAGCCAUCAUGAUUAGUAACCCUUGAUAGCUUGAUCCUCUGUGAUUUUGUCUGAACCCUCAUAACAGGUCUUUAGAAAUGAGGCUGAGUAAGGCGGGGGUGGAAAUCCAGGCUGUUGCAUCUAAAGAUGACCUGGAUGUAUAUCUCCAACAUAACAGAUUCAUGCACUGAACAGAUUCAUGCACUGAUUGAGAAUAAAUUCCUCGGCAUUGUCUUUGCUACCAAUGAGUUCCAUCAGUGUGUUUUUGGCAAUGCUGUAUCAAAGUCCAAGGAAAUCAGCCCUGAGUGCUCACUGGAAGGACAGAUCCUGAAGCUGAGGCUCCAAUACUUUGGCCACCUAGGUCAUGAGAAGAGAAGACUCCCUGGAAAAGACCCUGAUGCUGGGAAAGAUGGAGGGCACAAGGAGAAGGGGACGACAGAGGACGAGAUGGUGGGACAGUGUUCUUGAAGCUACCAGCAUGAGUUUGACCAAACUGCGGGAGGCAGUGGAAGACAGAAGUGCCUGGCGUGCUCUGGUCCAGGGGGUCAUGAAGAGUCGGACACAACUAAACAACAGCAACAACAACAUAUCAAAGUCCACUGUGAUCAUAAGCUGUCAGAGACAAUCUUCACCAACCCUUUGGGAAGGUCUGCCGGUCUUCAGUGGAUGCAUCUGUAGUUGACUAAGUAUGAUUUCCACAUUGUGUAAGCUAAGGGCACAGACAUGGUUGUUCCCUACACUCAUGUAGAACUUAAGAUAAGGGUCAGUGGAAAGGCCAUUCCAUAGGCGAGGUGCCACCAUGAAGAAGGCCCUUGUGUGAAGCCACAUUGAGUGAUUACUGGCUUUGGGCCCGCUGCUAGAACAUGUCUGAAGACAGCAUCCACACGGCUGGGACUCCAUGGUAUGUGUGUCCUGAUCUCAUGGAAGCCUAUGUAUAAGCAGUUGCACAUGCAUAGGCCUUGCAGAAAGUCAGUGGACAAUCCAGGAAUGUUGGCAGCAGCAUGACAUACUCCCAGUAAUCGUGUGGUUCAUGUGCAAAGCAGGUUUAGCUGUGCACAUGAUUUCAGCCCCAAACAGCAAGGCAAGUUACAAAGGCAACUCCUAGAAGAUACAUAUAUGAACUAUAGUUAUACCGUUCUGAGAACACGGGUCACAUUUUACAGAGGGGGAACAUUGCCAGGUAAUUGACUAGCCCAGAUUUGAUCUGGAAAUCUAUGACAGAAUAUUAUUAAGAAUAUAUUGCAUACAUAACAUGUGUGCAGGAGGGGUGCUGGGGUUUGAUCACUAUCUACAGCCUCCCUAUACAUUUAAAAUAAUUGAUCAAUAAAUUAACGGUGUUGUUGGAAACCUGUUUCCUUGCUCAGACUGCUCCUGCCGUCCACCCUCCCCACUACAGACUUCAGUUGCAAUUCUGUCUUGGUUUCCUCUAAUCUGAGGGUUUAGAGAAGCAGGGAGAACUAGUCAAUGAUAAAUAUGUAGGGCAGGAUUCACCAAAUUAGGCAAAUGCAGGGAGAGGAGGCAUUGUUUGGUCUGGCAAGUUGAAAUGCUUGUGCAGACUGAAGGUUCUUAAUAGCAUUAUGUUGUAUUCCACCCAUUUAUUUGCAUUGAACACUGAGGAAUUUACUCAUAGGUGGUGGAACCAGCAGCUCUCUUUAAAAUAACUUGUUUAAUGCAAAUUUAUUUCCUUGACUCGGGGAGGAUUUAUGGUUAUGUGAUCAGAAAUUAGAGUUUUAGAUAUCAGAGUUGAUGUAUAAAUAUCAGGUAUCAGUGCAAACAAAUGCAGAGAUUUAUGGACAACUUUAGCAGAGAGGCCUCUGUGGGGGCCUAUUUCCUGUAUCUUCAGAUUUUGCUACCAUAGGCGGGGGAGGAGGACAAAGUAGCUGCUUUGUUGAAAUCCAGAUGCAGAUUGAACAGAACUCUGAAAAUCACUUUUGCCCUAGUUAAAUUAAAACAAUAGAAAUGUACAAACCCACUGGUUUUUAAUAUAUAUAUUUUUAUUAAAGAUUUUGUGGUUUACAAAAAUACACGUAUUGUUUCUUUUUUCAAGUUGUGUUUUCUACAGAUCAGUUUCAUUUGUUGUGAGACAUUGAAAUACUUUAUUGUCACUUGUACAACUUGUAUACAGUGAGAUUACACGAGCACCCCCCCAGCUCUCUUAGUCUUAAUUCCCCUCGUUUAUUGACACACACACACCAAACCCGAAAGUCAGUUGCCCUGUUGUUAUCUUUUCAUUCAGCAGCCUAACAGCCCACGGAUAGAAGCUGUUCUUUACCCUGCGACUAAUCAUGCUUCUAUAUCUUCUACCUGAGGGCAGGAGAUCAAGAAAGUGCCGGCCAGGGUGUGAAUCAUCCCUGAGAAUUUUCCUCACUCUCCUGAGGCAACGUUCUUCCGCUAUUUCAUCCAGCGGAUUCACGGGACAGCCCAUAAUAUCUUGUGCUGUUUUCACUACCCUCUGUAGGCACUUCCUAUCAAUUGAUGUCAAAUCAGCGUACCACACCGUGAUGCAGUAUGAAAGGACACUUUCUAUUGUGGACCGGUAGAAGGAGAUCAUCAAAUGUUGAUUGACAUCGUUCUUUCACAAUACUCUGAGGAGAUAUGGUCUCUGUUGGGCUUUCUUAACCACCUGGGUUGUAUUGAUUUUCCAAGUAAGGUCUUCACUGAGAUAAACUCCUAGGAAUUUAAAGGAAGAGACUCUCUCCACAUAGCCCUCCCCGAUGUACAGUGGGGCUAGUUCUCUCUUCCUCCAAAAGUCCAACACCAUCUCCUUUGUCUUGCUGAUAUUAAGGUGCAAGUUGUUUCCUAGGCACCAUGUAGAUAUUUUUUUAUUGCAUUCAGUAUUAGGUUAGGAAGAAAAGAGAGGGGAAGAGGGGGAGGGGUGGGUUGGGUGGGUUGGGUGGUUAUGCUUCUAUAGUGGAACCUCAGCUUUUGAAUGUAAUCCGUUCCAGAAGUCCAUUCGACUUCUGAAACGUUAGAAAACCAAGGAUCAGAGGGUUCCAGACAGACAGGCUGCAAAGUCAAUGGGGGGAAAUGAAAAAUGCGCCUCAGAAGCCAUUCGACUUCCGAGGCACGUUUCGAAAACAGAAGCAUUCACUUCCAGGUUUUCAACGUUCAGCUUCCGCAACAUUUGGCAGCCAAGACAUUCAAAAACCAAGGUUUGACUGUACUUAGGGUAUGUGUCAGGUUUUGUAUUAGUGUCACCUGUCUGGGUUCUCUUACUAUUUGCUUGUUGUAUUUCCUUGGUGGUGAGAGAGGUUGGGGGUGGCCUAGAGUGUGGUUGGUUGUCUUUGGUUGGCUGUAGUGAGAUUAGUUUUUUUGUGAGAGUGGGGUGUGUGGCUACGUAUUUUUGGAUCAGGCUAGCCAGAUUGAUUUGUAUGCUGUUGGCAGAUUCUUCUUAUUGUCUUCUUGGGCAAAAUAUGUGUUAAAGGGGAACCAUACCUAUCGUUUGUGGUAGGGAGUGGUCAGUGAGACGGUGUUAAGCGCCUUCGUGACGCCUGUGUUGGGUAUAAAGUUUAUAAGCAAUGUUGUCAGUGUUGUUAACAUCAUUAUUGGUUUGUUGGGGUGGGGAUAUGGGUAUUGGCAUGCUCUGGCACCACCAUUGUGCUGGGUCACUUUUUGGCUAAAGAGUAGGGUGCAAAUGCUCUAACAUAUUAUCAGAAGUGUGUUAUAAUAAUAAUAAUAAUAAUAAUAAUAAUAAUAAUAAUAUAUUAUUUAUACCCCACCCAUCUGGCAGGGUUUCCCCAGCCACUCUGGACAGCUCCCAACAAAAUAUUAAAAUACAAUAGUCUGUCAAACAUUAAAAGCUCCCCUAAACAGGGCUGCUGUCAGAUGUCUUCUAAAAGUCUGGUAGUUGUUUUUCUCUUUGACAUCUGGUGGGAGGGCGUUCCACAGGGCAGGUGCCACUACGGAGAAGGCUCUCUGUCUGGUUCCCUGUAACUUGGCUUCUUGCAGCGAGGGAACCGCCAGAUGGCCCUCGGCACUGGACCUCAGUGUCCGGGCAGAACGACGGGGGUGGAGACGCUCCUUCAGGAAAACUGGACCGAGCCACCUGUGUUAGUACUGUACUGCAAUACUCCUGUCUGAAACUUUGGCCAAAACUUUUGUACGUGUUCCGACUGGCUACCUCCUACUUAGACUACAGUAGCCUCUUCCUCCUCAAUUCCCCCCUUCUGUGUACAGUGGUACCUCUGGUGACGUACUUAAUUCGUUCCGGAGAUCCAUUCUUAACCUGAAACUGUUCUUAACCUGAAGCACCACUUUAGCUAAUGGGGCCUCCUGCUGCUGCCACACCACUGGAGCACGAUUUCUGUUUUCAUCCUGAAGCAAAGUUCUUAACCUGAAGCACUAUUUCUGGGUUAGUGAAGUCUGUAACCUGAAGCGUAUGUAACCUGAGGUACCAACUGUAUUUCCUUUAUUGGGAGCACUUCUGUUAAUUUGGUCUCUUCUCAACACUAAUCAUGCCACCAACCACAGAAGUUAGAGGGAUAUAUCUGAUUAACAGUGCAAACUUAACCAUGCCUACUCAGAAGUCAUACUCAAUUCAGUGGGGAUUCUCCCAGGUAAUGGGGUAAGGAUUUCUGCCCCAAGUCUUCUAGUAGUUAGGGCAGGCCUAGCCCACCCAUGAGGCAAGGUGAGGCAAGUGCCUCAGGUGGCAGACUCCAAGGUGCAGCAGAUCCACCCACCAAGGAAUGCAUUGCCAGUUGCCACUGCCAUGGUGGCAGUAACAGCUAUGGCAUGCUCCUUGGAGGCCACAUCUGCUGUCCCCUCAGCAACCCCCCCAUGCUGCUUCUACAGUGGUCUCUUGGUGAUUAGGAGGUGCUUCUGGACUCCUCCCACCCUUGUUCCUGAUGCAGAACUUUGCUCACUACUUCUUCUCUGGCAGGGAGCACCAUUUUGUGGUUUGUCUCACAUGGCAAAAUGUCUUGGGCCAAUCUUGGGUCUGAGGCACAGGGUCCUACCUGGUCCCUCACCUUGACCACCAGACUAAACAACGUAAAAUAUAAGGAAUAAGUGGGAACCUAUAAGGAACCGUAUGUUCUGUUUUUGCUCCCCUCCCUUUCUUUCCCUCACAACAGACAUUUCCCUGAAGGAAGGGACGGAACUCAGAUAAAACUUCCUGAGAGCUCAACCCCCACCCACCCACAACUACUGCAGAUGCAAAGAAAGGGCUCCCUGACUAUCAGCUCAAUCUGGGAGGAUGUUAAACAUCAUGGGUCUAAGGGAGAGACUUGCCAAAUCCAGAGCAUGUUUAAGACGUACUGCAGGACUGUGGCUGCCAGAGGCUUGAAAGAACACAGGAAGAGGACAUCUGGGUUGUAAUGCAGUUUUGGUUUUAAUGCCCUAAAGUGCUAUUGUCUUCUCGUUCCUUCGGCAGGUAUCAAACUAAAGCAAGUUGUGAGAAACCUGCUCUCUGCUGGGGAUUCAUCCAACACGGGCACAGUAAGACAGAAGCACUCUUUGACAGUGGUUUGAUGAAGGUGCUGUGCACAUUUAGACCAUUGAUCCAUCUAGCCUUACUAGAAGCUAGUCCAAUCCCAUCCUCAAUGCAGGAAAUCCAGAGUUCAAGCAUCUCCCAACAGAUGGCUGUCCACCUGCAGUGAAGGAGAGGUCACCUGAAAUCCUCUUAGCAGGAAAAGGCAUGGGAUUGAACCCGAAACUUCCUGCAUGCAAAUCAUAGGCUCUACCACUGAGCUACAGCCUCUCCUCACUGGGUAGAUUGGUUCUGAGUGGGAGCGGGGAAGCUGUGACCCUCCAGAUGUUGUUGGACUAAAACUCCAGUCAUCAUCCUUGCCAUUGGGCCAUGCUGUCUGGGGCUAAUGGGAGUCCAAGAACAUCAGGAGGACCACAAGACACUCCUCCAUUCCUGGUUUAAAUUAAGGUACAGUGUUACCUUUAUUUAUAGCUGCAACUGGUCACCACAGCAUGUCUGCGUGUGAAGCAAGAAGGGGGAAGCUGGAAGGGUCAGUGUGUGGGGGUGGGAGGGUACACACUUUAUUAUUAUUUCAAUACAGUGGUACCUCAGGUUACAUACGCUUCAGGUUACAGAUGCUUCAGCUUACAGACUCCGCUAACCCAGAAAUAGUACCUCGGGUUAAGAACUUUGCUUCAGGAUGAGAACAGAAAUUGCACGGCGGCGGCGUGGCAGCAGGAGUCCCCAUUAGCUAAAGUGGUACCUCAGGUUAAUAACAGUUUCAGGUUAAGAACGGACCUCCAGAACAAAUUAAGUUCUUAACCCAAGGUACCACUGUAAUAAUGAUUUAAAUCGCCAGGGAAAAUGGCCACUUUAAAUCAUGAAUUUGAAUCCUGUUUCCCAUUGCAGAUUUGUACUUAGGUUUGUUAGACAGCAGCCCCCUAGUUCCAAGAUCUCCUUUUGAGACUAGGAGGAGUUUCAGAAACAGCUUGUGAUAUUUAGCAAGGGGGUUCACAGGGUUUGUAUGUGCCCAUGCGUUUGCCAUUCAAAGGGGAAAAGUCAAUUCUGCUAGGCCUGCUCAAAGCACUUGACCGUCUGCCUACUAUAUCUCUGAGUCCCAGCCCAUGAACCUUGACCUUACCUUCUCCCAGCGGGUGUGUGCGCAUAUUAUAGGGUCACAUCCACGCCAUAUGUUUAAAGCACAUGGCUUCCUUCAAAGAAUCCUGGGAAGCAUCAGUUGUUAAGGAUGUUGGGAAUUUCAGCUCUGUGAGGGGUAAACUACAGAUCCCAGAAUUGUUUUGGGAAAGCCGUGUGCUUGUUCCUAAGCAGCACCAUGUCAAAAUAACUGUUUUCGCAGCAUAAUGCACAUUUGCACAGUUCCUUUGGCAUGGUGCUUCUUACAAGUAAGCUGCCAUAAGAGGCGCUUUGCAGCGAUCAGUUUAGUUCCAUUUUAAAUGGGCUUAAAGCUAGAAUAGAUUACAGAUUGCAGUUCACAGCCAUGGGAUGGGUUACUAAAGCAGGUAAAGGGUUAUGAGAAGAUCCUUCUAGCAGACCAUGUGAGCUUCUCUCAGUGGAAACCCUAAGAAACCAAAUAACUUAUCAAGAAAGCUCCGCAUUCAGGUUUGCAUUGAAAAUUUGUUUGUUUUCUUUCUUUGCUCUUACACUAACGUGAACAGUCACUGUAUAUUUUUUUUUAAUUCUGCAUUAUUUUUCUUCAAUAAAAUAAUUAUGAACC
RNAcentral lists this long non-coding RNA (7481 nucleotides) under Podarcis lilfordi (Lilford's wall lizard). Lineage: Eukaryota; Metazoa; Chordata; Lepidosauria; Squamata; Lacertidae. The record is from RNAcentral.